Molecule: transfer RNA, 85 nt
Filed under: Pseudomonadota bacterium
Lineage: Bacteria; Pseudomonadati; Pseudomonadota
Description: Proteobacteria bacterium tRNA-Leu
Rfam family: tRNA
About the family: Transfer RNA (tRNA) molecules are approximately 80 nucleotides in length. Their secondary structure includes four short double-helical elements and three loops (D, anti-codon, and T loops).
Source: RNAcentral
GCCCAGGUGGCGGAAUUGGUAGACGCGCACGGUUCAGGGCCGUGUAUCGAAAGAUGCGCAAGUUCGACUCUUGUCCUGGGCACCA